Mobula hypostoma (lesser devil ray) is the source of this 1527-nucleotide long non-coding RNA. RefSeq lists it as uncharacterized. NCBI's taxonomy places the organism in Eukaryota, Metazoa, Chordata, Chondrichthyes, Myliobatiformes, Myliobatidae. The transcript is spliced from 3 exons. The record is from RefSeq and is a predicted model, not a curated record.
UCAGAACCCAGGAAGAGAUGUUUUGCGAUCACCUGGCAAGCUACUCCUGAGACAACUAUUAGCAAAUUCCUGGACAACACAUUCGCCACAGAAGGAAGGAUCAUCUUCAAGAUCUGGGCAUCUUUGUCAAGGCCAGCAUCUGUAUCGUAAACUUGUCUACCAUUUUGAAGGUGCUGCACGAACCGUUGUGGUCCCUAACGAUGGCUGCACGCCAACAGCACUGUGGGAAAUGAGAAGAGUGCUCCGUUAUCAGCAACAGCACAAACGCAGAGAUGGGCUCUGUUUCUUGGAGGACACAUUUACAAGAUCGAAUUCAAGAGGACGACUAGUCAUGAAAAUACUGAUGAAUUGUCCCGUUUAACCUUGGAAAAGGAAAUACCUGAAAAAUUUACAAAAGAGGACACUCCUCUUAAUUGAUUCUCCCUAACACAAAUCGAAAGUCUCCUUAUUAUGGCAGAGAUGAUCGAAAGAGAAACGAGAAAAGGCUCCACACUGUCUCAGGUCUACAUUGCCAUCCAAUGUUGCUGGAAUGUGCAGCAGAAAUGGCAAUUCCCCCGCUUUUACCAGCGCGGGAUGAACUUGCCCUAUUUGGGGAUUGCGAGCUGUUUUACCAUCCAAGCUGAGAGUUAAAGUGUUGGAAGAGCUACAUGCUGGUUAGCUAGGCAUGGUCAAAAUGAAAGCAUUGGCUCAAAGCUUUGUCUGGUAGACUGGGAUAAAUCACAAGUUGUUCAGCUUGCUACACAUUGUUUGGGAUGCCAACAUGUCAAAAGAAAGAUGUCCAGAGGUGUCAGAACAGCUUGCUGCAGCCCCAGAGUCAACUCCUACAAACACCAUGAAGGAGGCCCCAGAACCAGAGAUUAUUUCAUGGCCAGAAGUCUCAGCUGCCAAACAGAGUAAACCCCCGACCCUUGUCAGGAAAGACUUUAUCCCAUAGGGGUAAGAAAUAGCAAUUAAAUCUUCUGGCCUGAAUGGGACAAUUUAAAAUUUACUAAACUGUGGAUGUCCAUAUAAGUUGAGAUGCAUUCUAUACUUAGUUGAAGUUUAUAGCUAAGCAGGGAGGAGUGUUGUGCUGUUAAUAUUUCAGUAAUGUUAUAAUAUAUUGUAUGAUUAAGAAUUCUUAUUCAUUUAAAUAAUUCAUUAUGGUUUAUUUGUAAAAGUACAUGAAUGGCAUACGUCACCAUGCCACCGCGUUUUUGUCAAUGUAAAAACGAAACCAAGACACGCACUCCCGGCACCACAUUUCCUUUCAAUUAGUUUUUACAGAGUGUUUUAGAAUUACAAAACAUAACAGUAAGAACAGUUAACAGAGACUAAAUCAUUUUAAAGGAACACCACUCAACUGAAUGAUAAAAUUCAAUUGAAUAUGUUGUUUCUACUGAAUAUUUUUAACUGAAAUUUGGCUUCUAUUUUGAUGUCACUUCCUUUUUAAAAAAAUUCUGUUUACGCAGCAAAAUUAUUCCGCCUAUGCUAUAAUCUGUCAUGCAAAUAAAUUAAUCUGCAAAUAACAGGUGGCAGCCUCUUUGUUUA